Molecule: long non-coding RNA, 575 nt
Filed under: Citrus sinensis (sweet orange)
Lineage: Eukaryota; Viridiplantae; Streptophyta; Magnoliopsida; Sapindales; Rutaceae
Description: long non-coding RNA (CSIN_LNC003404)
Source: RNAcentral
UGCUAACAAAUUAGCCAGCAAGCACCCGCGUUUCAAUCUUGUUAGCCCCAGCUACAAAGAAUCUCCUCUUUGUGAUAUUUGUCAGGUUACUGCACAUAUAUAAAUUAUUUUCUUGAUUAUUAAUUUCGUUGAAGAAUUAAUGAGUUAUAAGGUGUCAAUAUUUGUUUGUUUCUUGUGUUUUUGAGUCAAUAGGAGAGACGUGCUUUGCUUUUUUGUCAAGAAGAUAGAGCAAUUCUUUGCAGAGAAUGUGACAUACCGAUUCAUAAAGCCAGCGAAUACACGAAGAAACACAACAGGUUUCUUCUCACAGGGGUUAAGCUUACGGCUUCAGCUUCUGUUACUUUCAAUACUACUUACAAUCCUAGCCCUUCAUCCUCCACUUGCUGUGACACAACAAAAACAACAACAACAACAUCCAUUGAUGAUCAAAAGAAAAUCUCACCAUCAUCGCAUUCAAAUUCAAUCUUUAGCUCCAAUUCAACACCACGAGAUAAUCACAUUAGUGACACCAGCAGCAUAUCUGAGUAUUUGAUGGAGACACUGCCCGGUUGGCGUGUAGAUGAUUUUCUUGAUCC